GGGCGGGGGCACCGGCACCACCCGACGGGCACCACCGCCCGACGCCUCUUCCCGGCCCCCAGCCAAGGAAUGCCCUGCUUCGGGUCAGGGCCCUGGAGUGCUGGACUCUCUCCGGGCUGGCACGGGGCCGCCAGGGACAGCCCAGGUCACACAUGGGGUCAGCAGAGCGGUACCGAGGUAAUGCCAACAUAGAUGUGAAAGAGGUGCCUGGGGCGGGCUGAGGAGGGUGCGCAGGGCUGUCCGCGGACAGGUGCCCUGCUGGCAUGCCCUCUCGCUCCCCACACCCUCUGUUCAGAGAAUGGUGGGACAUCGCCCCCCUGCCCUUGCCUCGUAACAGACAUGGUGUCGCCCAGCAGACUCCGGCCUGGGCUCUUGGAAAGAAUUGUGGGAACUGGGGGCCCUGUCUGGCUUGAGAACAGCCCUGCUGCCCUUUUGAGCCGAGAUUUUGAAGUGGAUGCCCGUCUUGCCAGAAAUGCUGUUCUCACCAGAAUGCCCCCAUCCCAUGCUCCCUCACUGGACUUGGCCCCUUGCCCAGUGCCAAGCAAAGACCUUCCCUUGCCUCCCCACCAUCCCCCUUGGAAAGGCCAAGUGUCCCCUCCAGGCAGCCCUGGCCCUUGGGCCCUGCCUGCCUGUCCUUGCUCCCCAAUGGGAAGGUGACCAAGGUCUGUGUGACCUUGUUUCCCAGUGUGAGCUGCCCUCUCCCCAAAAGCUGACUCACUGUGAGUGACUUGGGCAAGUUCCCAAACCUCCUCGUGCCUCAGUUUCCCCAUCUGGAAAAAAUGGGGCCACCUCUUGCCAGCAGUAGCAGGGCCACCCAUGCCCCUUCCUCCCCACACCCCUCUCCCAGCACUUGGGCAUCUCGUGCCUCUGCCUCAGUGGGUCUGAGGGGGCCCGCCUGAGCCUAGCACUUACUCCCCAUGGGCACCAAGCUCUGCUUGCUCAACCGUCGCUGAGAGCCAGGGUGUCCUGCUGUGGGGUCGGGGAUGCCCUCUUUCUAUAUUUAUUUCAAAAAGAAGUCUCCUAAGGGAGUAGAAAUGCAGCCUGGCCCAGGGCUCCCGCCCCUGUGACUCCCUCCUGUGGGGGCUCAGCUGUGCCCUUGCCCAGCAGCCGGCCAGGCCCUCCGGGCUGCUGGCCACGUGUGGUCUUUCUCCUCCUCUUCAAAGCAAUAUCCUCCAGGUCUACGAAGCCCUAUCAGACAGAGGUCAGCCACGUGUCUGAUGACAUUGCUAGCAAAGCAGACAAGAGGAGGUUGGGUCUGCCCUCACUGACUGUCACACGCUGAGAGAAGUCCAAUUGUAAAGAAAACAAAACAGAAAAAGUCACAAAAAAAUUUGUAUAAAGACAUAUUUUUGUACUACAUGGGGACUCUUCCUGCAUGUCAGCAAUAAAACUUCCUGAUCUGGAGCCAC
Molecule: long non-coding RNA, 1409 nt
Organism: Myotis davidii
Lineage: Eukaryota; Metazoa; Chordata; Mammalia; Chiroptera; Vespertilionidae
Exons: 2
Source: RefSeq, a predicted model, not a curated record